Molecule: ribosomal RNA, 492 nt
Filed under: uncultured bacterium
Lineage: Bacteria
Description: partial 16S ribosomal RNA
Rfam family: Bacterial small subunit ribosomal RNA
Source: RNAcentral
AGUGAACGCUGGCGGUAUGCCUAAUACAUGCAAGUCGAACGGCAGCACAAUAAGAUCUUUCUCUUACGGUUGGCGAGUGGCGGACGGGUGACGAAUACAUCGGAAUCUUCUUUUUCUUGGGUGAUAACGUAGGAAAACUUACACUAAUAGAUCAUAUAUUCUACCGGUUGGAUCAAUGGUUCUUGACGCCUUUCCCGAUUCUUUUAGCCGAUGUCGCAUUAGCUAGUUGGGUUGGUAAAGGCCCACCAAGGCGACGAUCCGUAGCUGAGCUGAGAGGAUGAUCGGCCACACUGGAACUGAGACACGGUCCAGACUCCUACGGGAGGCAGCAGUGGGGAAUAUUGGACAAUGGGCGAAAGCCUGAUGGAGCAACGCCGCGUGAGUGAAGAAGGCCUUCGGGUUGUAAAGCCCUUUUAUUGGGAAAGAAAAAAAGCAGAUUAAUACAUGGAUGUCUUGACGGUACCUAAAGAAAAAGCAACGGCUAACUUCGUG